AGUGAAGGACCGUUAGUUGGUUGUAAACUGUCUUUUAUUAUGUGACGAUUAUGACGGUAGCAUAUGAAUAAGGAUCGGCUAACUCCGUGC
This 90-nucleotide ribosomal RNA is filed under the name uncultured bacterium. RNAcentral describes it as "partial 16S ribosomal RNA". The record is from RNAcentral.